Long non-coding RNA from Pan troglodytes (chimpanzee), 2200 nucleotides. RefSeq lists it as uncharacterized. Lineage: Eukaryota; Metazoa; Chordata; Mammalia; Primates; Hominidae. The record is from RefSeq and is a predicted model, not a curated record. The transcript is spliced from 3 exons.
CUUCCGGCGUUUGGCGGGAUCUUUGUCUCUUCCUGGCGUUGGCACAGGAACUUGGGAUCCGUCUCCUCUUUCGCCUCCUCCACUUUGGGAGCCCCGGGCUACUCUUUCACAGCCCCUGUUGCCCUGUGAUCUGUACGUCCUUGGGGACGCACAGUUAAGAUGCCAGGACAUCCUGGAAGCUGGGAAAUGUUAGCAUUUCAUCAUAUCAAUGUGAAGAUUUCUUCCAGACCAUGGCUGGAGAAGGAAAGAAGGUGUGUUUUGCCUGAUUCAGCGACUAUAGAGAGAACCAAGUUCUGCAGGCCUGUCACCUAAGUCUCAGGCUGGACACGGUGGCUGACGCCUGUAAUCCCAGCACUGUAGGAGGCCGAUGUGUGUGGAUCAUGGGGUUAGGAGAUCGAGACCAUCCUGGACAACAUAAUGAAACCCCGUCUCUACUGGAAAUACAAAAGUUAGCCGGGCGUGGUGCCAUCUGCCUAUAGUCCCAGCUACUCGGGUGGCUGAGGCAGGAGAAUUGCUUGAACCUGGGAGGUGGAGGUUGUAGUGAGCUGAGAUCAUGCCACUGCAUUCCAGCCUGGGAAACAGAGUGAGACUUCAUCUCAAAAAAAAAAAAAAAAUUACCGUUAAUAGGCACCUAGGUUGAUUCAUGUCUUUCCUAUUAUAAAUAAUGCAGUGAUGAACCAACAAGUGCAUGUGCUAUUUUGGUAGAAUAGUUUAUUCUCUUCUGGGUAUAUACGCAGUGGAGAAAUUGCUGCAUUGAAUCAUAGUUUAACUCUCAGUUAUUUGGAAAAUCUCCAAACCACUCUCCACAGUGGCUGAACUAAUUUACCUUCCUAUUAACAGUGUAUAAGUGAUUUUUUCCCUCUAAAACCCCAUCAACAUCUAUUAUCAUUUUACUUUUUAAGAAAAACCAUUGUAACUGGUGUACAAUGAUGUCUUAUUGUGGUUUUUAUUUACAUUUCCUUGAUGGUUAGUGAUGAUAAGCUUUUUUCAUGUUAUUUGGCCACUUGUACGUAUUCUUUUGAACAGAGUCUGUUAUUGCCCACUUUUUCAUGGGGUAAAUUUUUGCUUGUGAAUUCUUUAAGUUUCUUACAGGUUCUCAGUAUUAGAUUUUGUCAGGUUCAUAGGUUAUGAAUAUUUUUCCCAUUCUGCUAGCUUUGGGGUUAGUUUGUUUUUAUUUUUCUAGUUUCUCUAAGUGUGAUGUUAAAUUGCUAGUUUGAGAUCUUUCUAACUUCUUGAUGCAGGUAUUUAGCACUCUCAACUUUCCUCUUAAAAGUGCUUUUCCUACAUCCCAUACAUUUUGUUAUAUUGUGUCUCUUCUAUUUCAAAAUCUUUUUAAUUUUCUACUUUAAUUUUUGUCUUUACCCAAAAUUCAUUCAGGAGCAAGUUGUUUAAUUUCAAUAUGAUUCUGUGAUUUUGUGAGAUUUUCUUGGUAUUCAUUUUUAUCUUUGUUCCAUUGUGGCCUGACAGUAUGGUUGGCAUAAUUUUGUUUUUUUUUUAAAUGUAUUGAGAAUUGCUUUAUGGCUAGUAAGUGGUCAAUCCUAGACUAUAUUUUGUGAGCAAAUGAGAAGAAUUUACUUCCUUAGAUGAUGGGUGGUGUAUACUAUAAAUGUCUAUUAGUUUCAAUUGAUCAAGUGUCAAAUCAAAUUCCAGAAUUUCUUUGUUAAGUUUCUGCCUGGAUAAUCUGUCAAACACUGUUAGUGAGGAGUUGCAUUCCCCUACUAUUAUUGUGUGUCUGCUUGAGUCUUAUUGUAGGUCUAGCAGUACUUGUUUUAUAACUCUAUGUUCCCCAAAGUUGGGUGCAUCUACAUUUAGGAUAGUUAAGUCUUUUUGAUGAAUUGAACCCUUUAUCAUUAUGCAAUAACUUUCUUUGUUUUAUUUUACUAUUAAUGAUUUAUAGUCUUUUUUUCUUAAAAGAGAAACAAUUCCAGGUAUGGUGGCUUAUGCCAGCACUUUCAGACUGAUGCAGUAGGAUUGCCUGAGACCAGGAGUUUGAGACCAGCCAGGGCAACAUAACAACAUUCUGUUUGUACAAAUUUUUCUUAAAGAAACUAUACAGCUGUGGUAGUGUGCCCAACAGUGGUCAUAUUUACUCAGGAGACAUAGGUGGCAUGACUGCUCGACUUCAGAAAUUUGAGGUUACAGUGAGCUGUGAUUGCACCACUGCACUCUGUCCCAGGAGAUAGAGUAAGAUCCUGUGUAC